This 438-nucleotide ribosomal RNA is filed under the name uncultured bacterium. RNAcentral describes it as "bacterial SSU rRNA". It matches the Rfam family "Bacterial small subunit ribosomal RNA", at positions 8 to 443 of the family's 1533-position model. The record is from RNAcentral.
AGAGUUUGAUCCUGGCUCAGGAUGAACGCUAGCGGCAGGCCUAAUACAUGCAAGUCGGACGGGAUUGGGGAGCUUGCUCCCCAUGAGAGUGGCGCACGGGUGCGUAACACGUAUGUAACCUACCCAUAUCAGGGGGAUAGCCUCUCGAAAGAGAGAUUAAGCCCGCAUAAAAUCACAGAGCAGCAUUGCUUAAUGAUCAAAUAUUUUAUAGGAUAUGGAUGGGCAUGCGGAACAUUAGCUAGUUGGUAAGGUAACGGCUUACCAAGGCUACGAUGUUUAGGGGAUCUGAGAGGAUGACCCCCCACACUGGUACUGAGACACGGACCAGACUCCUACGGGAGGCAGCAGUAAGGAAUAUUGGUCAAUGGGCGCAAGCCUGAACCAGCCAUGCCGCGUGCAGGAAGACGGCCCUACGGGUUGUAAACUGCUUUUAUACCG